GGAUGUGAGGUCGAUCUGGCUGUGAAAUGUCACCCCAUUAUCACCAGGCUUUAUUCAGCUGAUCUGGCUGGCUAGGCAGGUGUCCCCUUCCUCCCUCACUGCUCCAUGUGUGUCCCUCCCAAAGCUGCUUGCUCGGUGAAAGACGAUGACCUUCCCUGAUAGUGGAGAGGACUGGUCUUCUGUCAAGGGUGUAAGAAUAGCUUUGCUCCCCUGCUAGAAUCUCUAAACAAGCUGCCAAGGUCCAUUUGUAGGAGAACAUAGGGUAGUCAAGCUUCCAAGACUCCAGACACUUCCAAAUGAGGCUCUGCUCAUGGCAGUCUGCCUUUCUUU
Mustela putorius furo (domestic ferret) is the source of this 330-nucleotide unclassified non-coding RNA. Its record names the gene 7SK. It matches the Rfam family "7SK RNA". From Rfam's summary of the family: 7SK was discovered as an abundant small nuclear RNA in the mid-70s but a possible function has only recently been suggested. Two independent studies have found that 7SK RNA binds the CDK9/cyclin T complex (known as elongation factor P-TEFb). P-TEFb activates transcription by phosphorylating the C-terminal domain of RNA polymerase II. The record is from Ensembl. NCBI's taxonomy places the organism in Eukaryota, Metazoa, Chordata, Mammalia, Carnivora, Mustelidae.